RNAcentral lists this ribosomal RNA (253 nucleotides) under uncultured bacterium. RNAcentral's name for it is "partial 16S ribosomal RNA". It matches the Rfam family "Bacterial small subunit ribosomal RNA", at positions 524 to 776 of the family's 1533-position model. The record is from RNAcentral.
UACGUAGGGCGCAAGCGUUAUCCGGAAUUACUGGGCGUAAAGCGUGCGCAGGCGGUUUUGUAAGCCAGAUGUGAAAGCCCCGGGCUUAACCUGGGAAUGGCAUUUGGGACUGCAAGGCUGGAGUGUGGCAGAGGAGACUGGAAUUCCUGGUGUAGCAGUGAAAUGCGUAGAUAUCAGGAGGAAUACCGAUGGCGAAGGCAGGUCUCUGGGCUGACACUGACGCUCAUGCACGAAAGCGUGGGGAGCAAACAGG